UCAGCCGUGGUAUCGUGGAGCCGGUGUUGUUGGUGUUCCAAGCACCGAGCAGACGGCUGCCCUUGUUCGAUCCCGGGUCGGUGAU
Molecule: transfer RNA, 85 nt
Filed under: Prevotella lacticifex
Lineage: Bacteria; Pseudomonadati; Bacteroidota; Bacteroidia; Bacteroidales; Prevotellaceae
Description: tRNA-Trp
Source: RNAcentral